CGAAAGCCUGACGGAGCAAGACCGCGUGGGGGAGGAAGGUUCUUGGAUUGUAAACCCCUUUUCUCAGGGAAGAAGAAAGUGACGGUACCUGAGGAAUCAGCCUCGGCUAACUCCGUGCCAGCAGCCGCGGUAAUACGGAGGAGGCAAGCGUUAUCCGGAAUGAUUGGGCGUAAAGCGUCCGCAGGUGGCUCGUCAAGUCUGCUGUCAAAGGUCGGGGCUUAACUCCGAACAGGCAGUGGAAACUGAGGAGCUAGAGUGCGGUAGGGGUAGAGGGAAUUCCCGGUGUAGCGGUGAAAUGCGUAGAGAUCGGGAAGAACACCGGUGGCGAAAGCGCUCUACUGGGCCUGCACUGACACUGAGGGACGAAAGCUAGGGGAGCG
This 380-nucleotide ribosomal RNA is filed under the name uncultured Limnoraphis sp. RNAcentral describes it as "bacterial SSU rRNA". It matches the Rfam family "Bacterial small subunit ribosomal RNA", at positions 376 to 770 of the family's 1533-position model. Lineage: Bacteria; Bacillati; Cyanobacteriota; Cyanophyceae; Oscillatoriales; Sirenicapillariaceae. The record is from RNAcentral.